UUUAAAGGAAAACCAGAACAAAAGAUUAAACAUUUAAAUUAAUAUCCUAUUUUCAAUAUUUCAACUUAUCUUAAARGUAAAAARACAUUUAUAUAAAAGAAAGACRACAAGACCCURAKGAACUUUACUUAAGUUAAASKGGGGCAGUCAAUUAAUAAUCACUUUAAUUUUUUUAAAAUUCACAAAAAAUCCMAUACUAUUGAAUAAUCAAGUUACCAUAGGGAUARCAGCGUAAUAAUUAUUUAAAGCUCUUAUAAAAAUAAUAGCUUGCAACCUCGAUGUUGAAUUAAUUACCUAAUUAAAGCAAAAAUUAAUAAAGGAAGUCUGUUCGACUUUUAAAAAAUUACAUGAUUUGAGUUCAGACCGGUAUAAGCCAGGUCGGUUUCUAUCUUCUAAAUUAUUCUUACAGUACGAAAGGGCCCAAGAAAMUAAUUUAAUUAAACUAAUUGGCAGAAAAAUGCAUUAGAAUUAGAAUCUAAUAAAACUAACUUAUCUCAUUCAUCCUAUCAUUUUUAAUGAUUACCAUCAGA
RNAcentral lists this ribosomal RNA (530 nucleotides) under Selenops aissus. RNAcentral describes it as "partial 16S ribosomal RNA". The stretch from base 98 to 394 matches the Rfam family "Archaeal large subunit ribosomal RNA", at positions 2154 to 2717 of the family's 2987-position model. The record is from RNAcentral. Lineage: Eukaryota; Metazoa; Arthropoda; Arachnida; Araneae; Selenopidae.